AGUGAACGCUGGCGGUAGGCCUAACACAUGCAAGUCGAACGGCAGCACAUUAAGCGCUUGCUCUUACGGGUGGCGAGUGGCGGACGGGUGAGGCAUACAUCGGAAUCUACUUUUUCGUGGGGGAUAACUUAGGGCAACUUACGCUAAUACCUCAUACGACUUACGGUUGAAAGCAGGGUAUCUUCGGACCUUUCCCGCUCUCAUGAGCCGAUGUCGGUUUAGCUAGUUGGUGGGUAAAGGGCCCACCAAGCCGACGAACCGUAGCUGGUCUGAGAGGAUGAUCAGCAACACUGGAACUGAAAAACGGUCCAGACUCCUACGGGAGGAAGAAGAGGGGAAUAUUGGACAAUGGGCGAAAGCCUGAUCCAGACAUACGGCGUAGGUGAAGAAGGCCUUCGGGUGGUAAAGCCCUUUUGUUGGGAAAGAAAAGCAGGAGGUUAAUAAGCCGCUGAUCUGACGGUAACCAAAGAAUAAGCAACGGCUAACUUCGUG
This 492-nucleotide ribosomal RNA is filed under the name uncultured bacterium. Its description in RNAcentral is "partial 16S ribosomal RNA". It matches the Rfam family "Bacterial small subunit ribosomal RNA", at positions 29 to 507 of the family's 1533-position model. The record is from RNAcentral.